AUUGAACGCUGGCGGCAUGCCUUACACAUGCAAGUCGAACGGCAGCACGGGAGCAAUCCUGGUGGCGAGUGGCGAACGGGUGAGUAAUAUAUCGGAACGUGCCCAGUCGUGGGGGAUAACGCAGCGAAAGCUGUGCUAAUACCUCAUACGAUCUACGGAUGAAAGCGGGGGAUCGCAAGACCUGGAGCGAAUGGAGCGGCCGAUAUCAGAUUAGCUAGUUGGUGAGGUAAAGGCUCACCAAGGCGACGAUCUGUAGCUGGUCUGAGAGGACGACCAGCCACACUGGAACUGAGACACGGUCCAGACUCCUGCGGGAGGCAGCAGUGGGGAAUUUUGGACAAUGGGCGAAAGCCUGAUCCAGCAAUGCCGCGUGCAGGAUGAAGGCCUUCGGGUUGUAAACUGCUUUUGUACGGAACGAAACGGUGAGCUCUAAUACAGUUUGCUAAUGACGGUACCGUAAGAAUAAGCACCGGCUAACUACGUGCCAGCCGCCGCAGUAA
This 500-nucleotide ribosomal RNA is filed under the name uncultured bacterium. RNAcentral describes it as "partial 16S ribosomal RNA". It matches the Rfam family "Bacterial small subunit ribosomal RNA", at positions 30 to 523 of the family's 1533-position model. The record is from RNAcentral.